GUCUUUGUGGUGUAGUGGUCAGCACGCUGGGCGUAUUCCAGAGGCCCAUGGUUCGAGUCCCGGCGAGGGCA
Molecule: transfer RNA, 71 nt
Filed under: Stegodyphus mimosarum
Lineage: Eukaryota; Metazoa; Arthropoda; Arachnida; Araneae; Eresidae
Rfam family: tRNA
About the family: Transfer RNA (tRNA) molecules are approximately 80 nucleotides in length.
Source: Rfam by way of RNAcentral